This 629-nucleotide ribosomal RNA is filed under the name uncultured bacterium. RNAcentral's name for it is "bacterial SSU rRNA". It matches the Rfam family "Bacterial small subunit ribosomal RNA", at positions 554 to 1186 of the family's 1533-position model. The record is from RNAcentral.
CUGGGUGUAAAGGGUGCGUAGGCGGCUCUGCAAGUCAGGCGUGAAAUACAUGGGCUUAACCCAUGGACUGCGUUUGAAACUGUGGAGCUUGAGUGAAGUAGAGGUAGGCGGAAUUCCCGGUGUAGCGGUGAAAUGCGUAGAGAUCGGGAGGAACACCAGUGGCGAAGGCGGCCUACUGGGCUUUAACUGACGCUGAAGCACGAAAGCAUGGGUAGCAAACAGGAUUAGAUACCCUGGUAGUCCAUGCCGUAAACGAUGAUUACUAGGUGUGGGGGGUCUGACCCCUUCCGUGCCGGAGUUAACACAAUAAGUAAUCCACCUGGGGAGUACGGCCGCAAGGUUGAAACUCAAAGGAAUUGACGGGGGCCCGCACAAGCAGUGGAGUAUGUGGUUUAAUUCGAAGCAACGCGAAGAACCUUACCAGGUCUUGACAUCCAACUAACGAAGCAGAGAUGCAUUAGGUGCCCUUCGGGGAAAGUUGAGACAGGUGGUGCAUGGUUGUCGUCAGCUCGUGUCGUGAGAUGUUGGGUUAAGUCCCGCAACGAGCGCAACCCUUGUGAUUAGUUGCUACGCAAGAGCACUCUAAUCAGACUGCCGUUGACAAAACGGAGGAAGGUGGGGACGACGUC